This 16790-nucleotide long non-coding RNA is filed under the name Marmota monax (woodchuck). The stretch from base 14476 to 14548 matches the Rfam family "tRNA". The record is from RNAcentral. Lineage: Eukaryota; Metazoa; Chordata; Mammalia; Rodentia; Sciuridae.
CUCUACUUUGUUCAUGAUGUGACCACUUGCUCCUUCACCAGUUCCCACCAUGAUAUAUUGCCAUUCAAUAUCUCACCAGAGGCCAAACCCAUGGACUACCUGAACUUGGGCUUCAAAGUUUUAAAAUGGUAAGCUAAGUAAACCUUUUCUCUUUAUAAAACUGGUUUCCUUGAGUAUUCCCCUAUAGUGAUGAAAAGUUGACUGAUACACUCACCUGAAGGACAUUAUAGAACAACUGGGGCACAUUGUAACCAAAUGGUCAGGAUUUGUUGUUCGGCACCCUUAUGUAGACAAGGAAAGUAGGCACAGAGCGAUUAAAAUUAUUUAUCCAAGGGGCUGGGGUUGUAGCUCAGUGGUAGAACGCUUGCCUAGCAUGUGUGAGGCCCGGGUUCAAUCCUCAGCACCACAUAAAAAUAAAUUUUAAAAAUUAUUUGUCCAAAAUGAUAUAGUUAAUAAGGAGUAAAAAGUGGGUUCAAGCCAAGACUUUUGGCUGUAGCGCCCACCCACUUACCCACCACCUUCAGAUCCUCUUAGGAACUGGAACCAGAAACGGGCAGGACCAAGGCAGCCACUGGCCCAGUGUGUGUCUCCCUCCCCACCUCUCCCUCUCUCUUACUCCAUGAUGUCUUAGUUGUCUUCCACCCACGCUUGUUGUGUUUCCCUCUCUGCCUAGUGUGUCCAUUUCCGCCUCCCAAGGCCCAAGUUUGCAUGUCCUCAGUGUAAGAACCACCCAGGUUGGAAUGACUGUGUUCCAGAAAAUCCAAGCUUCCCAAAGGCAGGGUCUGACGGGAACAGCCUGGGUUACACAGCUGUCCUUGGUUCAGUCGACCAGGGCAGAAGGGGUCCUGGACAUGCACCCAGUCUCAGGAGAAGGGGGAAAAGCUGGGAGGGGUGUAGAUUGGAGACCCUGAGUGCACCCCUGCCUUCUGGUCAGGCACCCGGGCAGCAGGACGGGGAUGCUCAUUCAGGCAAGCAGAACAAUAGUGAAGAUGUCCAUCACUAAGUUUCUAGAAUGUGCAUAAACACUGAGCCAUGUAGCAGAAUAACUCUGUGAAGUGCUUGCUGUCAAUCUUAUCACCCUUCCUUACACGAUCCUUGUACAUAACCCAUCAUAUUCUCCCAUGGGCUUCAAAUCAUCUCUAUCUAGAUGGCUGACUCCUAAUAUGAAAUCAAUGCUAUGUGAAUAAUUGCUACACAGUAUUAUUAGGGGAAAAUUACAUGAAAAAACUCAAUAAAGAUACCCCACUUUUUUGCAGUUUUAAUCCAUAAUUAGUUGACUCUGAGCAUGCAGAAGCCACGGACAUGGAGGGUCAGCUGCAGUUGUUUAGGGGCAUGGCCAUGGCCAGGAGUCCAGCCCAGGCGGCCCAUCUCCAGUGCAGGCUCUCUGGUCUACCCCACACUCUGCCUGAGCCUAACUGCUCAGAUGGGCCAGGCCUGCUGCUGAGCUGUUGCAAAGACCAAAUUAAGUAAUGCCUUGGAGAGCUUUAUAAACUCCAUUAAAGAAUGAACAUUUCUCCUCUGUUCCCGUAUGGUUCUUUAUACUGCAAUCAAGGCAGUGGCUCAAUACAAGAGCAGAUGAAGGAUGCCUUCCGGGUUAGGCUGCCCACCCCCAGCUCUUCUCCCACAUUCCACCACCAGGAGAGGCACCCAUGGCCUCGAGCCACGUCUCCAGGAAGACCCAGUGAACCCUAAACAUACAACUUGGAAGAGCAAUAAGCUUUUAUUAUGCCGACAGUCGUGGCUCAUUUUCUUCAUUGAGGGCUUUGAGGGGGUGGUAAAGAGGGUGGGUAAAUCUCACAUCCUGGAUUAAGGACAGGAGGGGAGGCAGGAUUCCAUGCUAGGAGGCAGUGAGGACUAUGGAGUGAGCUGCCCUGGAGCAGAAGUGGCACCUGGUGCCAGCUGUGCCUCUUCACGAACCUGAGCCACCAGAAUCACAGUGUGCUGGAAGGAGCUCCCCACUGUACAGAUGAGGAAACUGAGGCCCAGCCCUGCCCAGGGCCAGGCUGCUUCAGCCUCUUUUCUGGAUCACAGUUUACCACUGUGGGCCCUUCAAUAAUCCUUGAAGGGCCAGGCUGCCCACUCCCAGCUCUUCUUCCACAUCCUGGUGACUUCCAGGAAAGUCGCCCGUAUUCUUCCAGGAAGAUUUCCCCUGCCCUGGGACGGGCAGCAGAGAGUCACCACCAGAGACUCAGGGGUGUGGCAAAGGUCCCAGGCAAAGAGAGGCACAGAGGAUCCUCAGUCUGGGUGCCCCUGAGCACCUUGGCUUCCAUCGCUUUUCUUCUUGGGUUGGAAGCUUUGACUGUAGUAAGAACCUCAGUUCCUCGCGGUCGGCACUCCUUGUAUUCCAUGCUGGCUGCGCCGAGAGCUGUGAGCCUGAAAGGUCUCUCAGGUAAGUCUUUUGGAUGCCACUGAGGAGGUUUUUCAUUUAUCCACCGCCCAACUCUUCUACAUCCCCCGCCAUCUCUCUUCCAAACCUGGGCCCUUCCUCUCACCCAAGGAAAAUGACAGUGAGAGCCGCCUUACGUGGAGCCUCAGCUCACGUCUGUCACUGGAUACUUUCUUGUGACAUCCCCAGCAGAAGGUGGUGCGAUCUCCAUACGGAGGUAAAGAACUGGAGGCUCGGCCACCCCGCAGCACCUUUCCACUUAGGAGACCCAAGGUCAAGUGCACGUCUGUCUGCCUCCAAUUUUCACACCGUCUCAAAUCUCCACUACUCCUAUCUGGCGGACUUUCCCUCUUAUUUUCAAAAGCAAAUUGAGGCCUCCAGGUGGAAGCUGUCCCCACUUCUUGCUGCCCACCUCUAAAAGCACCUACAUCCACAUUCAUUGUCACUUGCUGCCUUUCCUUCUCAAUUCCUCACUGAGCUCAGCCUGUCCACAUCUAGAGGGUAGGGGCCCAGAGGAUACCAAUUUCCAGAUGAGAAACAGACUUGGAGACAUCACAAAAUAAGUGGCAGAACUAGACUCAAAUCCAGAGCCUGGGGCCUUAUCCACUGCACCAGGCAGCUAUGGAUAAGUGCAUGAGUUAUCUUUGAUUCCCAAGGCUUUUAGUCCAGAGAUUUUUCAAGGUGUGGUUUCCAGACUACUAGCAGCUGUGCCUGGGAACUUGUGAGAAAUGCAAACUGUCAGCUCUGGGUGGGGCCCAGCCAUGGGCUUUAACAAGCCCUGCAGGUGAUUCAGGUGCAGGCAAAAGUCUGAGAAUCUCUGCCCUAGUCUAGGGCAUAGUUUUAUAAAUAAAGCUUCCUGGGAACACAGCCAUGCCUGUUUGUUUAGGUAUUGUCUACAGCUGCAACAUCAGAGUUGAGUGGAUGGGACAGAGACACUUGGGUACACAAAACCAAAGUGCUUACUAUUUGGCCAUUUAAAGCACAAGGUUGAGGCCCUGACCCAGACUCUCACCAAAUCCUUCAGAUUUUGUCUUCUUAGUCACCUCCCAUCUGGAUCUGUCUCCACGCUUCUGUUGCCCUUGUUCUGGCCUUCGCCCCCUUCUCUAGCUCAGACUAGUGGGAGAGACUUCUCCUAAGUGGCUGCCUCCCCCAUCCAUCCCCACACAGCUGCAGGAAUGCAAAUGUGACUGUGUCUUCCUUUGCCUUCAAAACCAAACCCAAGCAUUUUUGGCAAUACAUAGUGAAUUCUCCAUGACUCAGUGCUUACCUCCUGAUCAUGUUCAACCACAGGAUGGGAUCCUAAUUGGAAUAAGUUUUAUUUCAUGUAUGUAUAAUAUGUCUAGUGUCAUGUAUAUCUAAAAAGAACAAAUUAAAAAAUGCCCUCUGACUCUUCCCACCCUCUCACGUGGCAAACUGCUCAUCCUACAAGACUCCAUCCAGCUGUCAUCCAAGAAGCCUUCUCCAAACUCCCCACCUUCCUCCUGCCGUCAAUUACUGCACCCACCCUAUUUGGCUUGGCCUCUCCAGCAUCCAGGAGAGGCCCUGGCACAUAGAUCUCAGUAACAGUUCAUUUAACUGAUCAGAGACAAUCUACUGGUCCCUCUCUUACCUUGCGAUCACCUUAGCUCCCCAACCUGUUCAACUCUCAAGUGGAGCAGGUGGUGUUCAUGUUGCCACAUCCUGUUCAGGACAAGAGUCCUGUUUAUGUACGUCGCAUCCUCCAUGGCAAGUGGCACAGUGCCUGAUAACUAGUAGGUACCCAACAAGUAUAACUAAAGGAUAGAGGAAUAAUUUCUGUCUCUCAAAAUCAUUUAUAAAUAUAUAUAUAUAUAUUUUUUUUUUCUUUUCAGGUGAGUUUUAUUUUUAAUCAAUUUUUCUUUUGAUUAAAAUUACAACACACACAUAAAAAUUUUACUUUAAAAAUCACUGAAAAUUCUUAAGAAGAAGGUAAAAAUCACUUAGAAUUCCUCAACCCAUGUAAAUGUUGCAAUGGAUUUCCUCCCUGUGAUUUAUUAUGCUCAAGAUCUCAGGGAUGGAAAGGGGACGUGCUGGGUGAAUACGUGUAUGUGUGUGUGUGUGUGUGUGUUUAAAUCCCACUGUUCCUCGGUUCUACUUCUGGCUAAUUGAUCAUAGGAUGACUGCUUUGGGUGGCUCUCACUUAUUAAACCUUGAUUUCUGAAAAUUCACAUUGCUAUCACCUUCAUUCACAUGUUCACAUUAAUAGGGAAAGCAAGCAAAGAGCCUCCUACGUGCAUCAGAGAUCUUGCCUUUAAGAACAAAGAACUGAAAACGUACUGUAAGAAGCUUCCAGUGAGAUGGGUGUGUGUUUGCUUCUUGGCAGUUCACUCUUCUGAGGCAGGGUUGAAGGAAGUGUCCCAGCUCAGGUCAGCCUUGCUGGGAAAAGCCCUGGGGGGCAGGUGGGAAGGAACCUGAGCCAUGGUACAGAACAUGGCAAGGGAGUCACCCAAGAGGACAAAAGAGGAGCAGAAUUGGCACUAGAAGCACAAGAAGGUUGGCUUUGGUGCAAAUUAAUGGCUCCUAUGUCGAUGUUAAGCAUGCUGAGAUUAGUGCAGGUUUCUAAAUGAUACUAUCUUCACGUAUUCUCCACCCAGUUCUGAACCGUUUAAAAUAAGAGAGGACUGUGGCUGUGGAGAUCAAAAUGACAGAGCCAUCUUAGAGGGCCCAGCCUAGGCUCAUGGAAACAUUGGACUUCUUUUUCCUGCUGACCAGAAUCAGAUGACUUGACACCCCUUCCUCGACAGUGGUGGCCUCCUGAGGAACUGAGCCUCCCCAGAAAAAUUUAACAGCCAAGUGGAAUGUGUGCUGGUGUCAGCAGCUGGGCCCAAAGGAAAAGUAAGUACUUCCAAAUCUGCCAACCAGGUCAUUCACUCCUCCUCCCCAGGAAAGUGUGAGCACAGGACCAGAAAGAAGCCAGGAGUGUUACAUGCAUUGAUGUCCCUUUGCGUGGAAACAAAGCCAGAGCAAACAGAGGUUCCAAAUGAGAGGCAUGAGGAGUUCCAAGUAUUUCAUCUCUAAUUCUGAACAAACCUGCAAGAGGAUAUUAAUAUUUUCAUUUUUAAGAUGAGAAAAUUGAGAGGAGUAAAAUAAGAGCACAAUGACAUACCACUGGCAAGUGAUGGGGCAAGGAUUGGGAUGGAGAUUUUGCUCCUUCUACUGUGGUCGCCGGCCUUCUCCUUGCCUUUAUGAGCCAUUCAUUGCUGAGCUGCACUUCUGCUGGCUGAGAAGCCUUGAUAGCAAAGCAUGCAAUGGGUUCAGGGUGAAGGGGCCAUGAGCACAGUAAAAAUAGCAUUAAAAAAAACAACAAAAAAAAAAACCUUGGGCUGGGGUUGUGGCUGAACGGUGAGCGCUUGCCUUGCACAUGUGAGGCACUGGGUUUGAUCCUCAGCACCACAUAAAAAAUAAAAUAAAGGUAUUGUGUUCACCUACAAAUAUAUAUAUAUAUAUAUAUAUAUAUAUAUAUAUAUAUAUAUAUAUAUAUAUAUAUAUAUAUAUAUUUUAAUCUCACUUAAAGGAAUAAGGAGAAGACCACUUUGUUUGGAAUGAUCAAGCAGGUAGAAGAUUCAAUGUAAGUCAGGCUUUGAAGGAAAAAGAGGAUUCCAGUGAACAGUUUGCUUCUUGUUUCUGAUUAUUUUUAUGUUAGUUCAUAGAAAUCAGCCCAAAUACCCCUUGUUCUUUUCUCAUAAUUUCUAGUAGUGGUUUAAGUUUGGGUUCUACCAUCAAUGAUCUGGGGCAGGUUUCUUGCCCUUCCUGAGUUUUCAAGUCCUCCUUUGUGCAAAGUGAUUGUGGUAAAGACUAAAUUAGAUGAAAGUGCUGGGUCACAGCUUGGCUCAAUGUUUUUCCCUCCAUGCUCUCUUGCUUUCGAGUCAUUUUUCAUUGCUGCUUUCAGAAACCCUGCCACCAGUUCACUUCUGGAGGCUCCCCUGACUUCAAUGCUACCUGCCAUUGAUACUGACAGCCACUGGAUGACAUUCUUGGCCUUUGCUCAAAUUCUUAUCUCCAGUCCCCGCACAAACAUCCUCCCCUCACAGGAGCAGAAACAAGAUGUUCUGAUCCGACUCUUCUCUGGAUACCUGCUGUUCUGCACAAUGAAGCACCUUUCUGUUUGGGAAAUGAGAGCUGGUGACUGUGGAUCCAGGUCUCUGGAAGGAGAGAGUUCUCCAGCCAUUUGUUACCUUAAUUAAUCCUUUCAACAGCCCUUAAAAUAACUGGUGCUUAGAGAAGUUGGUUCACUGGUCCAAGCUUUUUUUUCCAGAAGAUAAUUGGUGAAGGUGAGAUGGGACCCUAGUACCCAAGCUUCUGCUGGUACCCAAGCCUCUUAUCAGGGUGCUACUUCUCCUGCAUCUCCUUCCUGUUGAGUGGCUUUGGCUGGGACACUUCCCCUCUGUGGGCCUCACUGGUCACAUUUGUGAAAUGGAGGCAGAGGACACGUGACAUGCUUACUAAGAUCCAUCCCUAUUAGAACGCUUUCCACGAGAUUAGGAGCAACACCAAAUGGCAAUCCGUCCUGCUAAGGCAGCAUUUUACAGUUCAUAGAUCCUUCUCGUGAAGCAGAUCACCUGGAAACAAGAUAUGCCCAAAUGGCCAGACCACGCCCCUGAGUCACUGCUCCAGGAAAAUCUGUGCGGAGAGGGGCGGUUCCAAGAACAGGCCUGGCUGCCUCACCCUGAGGUCCCAGGAGGCACUGCCUGUCCUUGCAACACAGGCUGCCUUCUCAGACCUGGCAGGGGUCCCAUGUAGGAUGAUCAGAACAUAAAGCCACGUCCUGGUACAAUCUGGGCAAUGCAGGACCAGGGACUGGACAGUAUAGGCCUCAAGGAACACCUAGGCAGAGUCGCUGUGAACACUUCUGGAACCCAGACUUGCCCAGCCUGUGGGCUGCCGGAAGAGACCUGUCAUCCAUCACUUCUGGUAGUCCAUUGUCGCAUUCACUCACUCAUUCAACAAACAUAUAAAGGACACAUCCAUGAUGAGACCUCAUUGUGCUAGGCACUUAGGAUAAAAGAUGGUGUCUCCUUCUCCUAAGGGAGGGGGUGGAGAACCAAGUACACAGGCAGAUUAACCCAGCCAGUGCAACAUUUGUUAGCCGUGGGACCCCACAACACUGCAUACCCUCUCUGAGCUUCCGUUUCCCCAUCAGCCAAACAGGGUUAGUAACAUUGCAUUCUUAGCUUCAUCCUCCAGAGCUUCCCCCACCCUUUGGGUCACUUCCCAUUUCCCAAACACAUCAUUUAAGGUCCCAUUCCUUCACCUUACUAUUCCUUCUUCCUUUCCUGAGAGCAUUUAUUUUUUCCCCUUUGUCUCCAAUCACAUCAAUUCUCAUCUUCUGAUCUUUGCCAAAUGCAAUGGGGAAAUGGUCUCUUCUUGAUGGUUCUAAUUCAUGGUUCUGAUCCUUAGAGAAGGGCUGUCCCUUCCCCAUGUCUCCAAAGUACCCCACAACCCAUCACCAAGGCUAGUCUCAGCACACACUAGAGGAGGAAUAACUAUUUGCUGAAUGAAUAAAUCCCACAAGAUUAAGUUAGCACUAUCUGACUUCCCAGGCAGAACAAUUAUUGGUCUCCUCCAUUAAAUUGCAAACUCCUCCUGUGCAGACCCUGGCUGAGAGAGAACGUUAGUGUUUAGUAAACAGUAGUAAAAGUGAAAAACAAGUUGGUCAAGGAAGGGAUUACUGUCUUUGUUUUAGGAAUGACUCAGGUUCUGAAAAAUCCUAAAGGACUCGGUGAAUCAUUCUGGAAGGUGAGAAACAGGCCCAAUUACAGGGGUCCCAGGGCAGCCUCACUUCCUGCCUUGAUUCUGAGCUGUCAGACCAGUGCUCUCCUAGGUAGUUUUAAAAAGAACUUAUUUCACAAAUUCUAAAUGCACAUGUUUAACAUCCCAGAACUUGGGAUGCAUUUUUCUUUGUUUAAUGGUAUGUAAAAUAGUGAUAAUGUGUCUUACAACCAAUGCGUCAUAAGAUUUGAUCAAAUACAUUAUUAGUUGUAAUUAGAAAAAGAAAAAUACAAGUAAUCAAGUUCACCCUCACUCGUUAUCACAGCAAUAAAAAUCAGAGCUAUAAAGCAGAGACCCUUUCCCCCUAUUGCAUUUAGCAAAAAUCAGAAGAGGAAAAAAUUAUGUGGUUGGAGGGAAAGGGAAGGAUUCUCUCCUAUAGAAUCAGUGAAACGAUGCAUUGAUAUAAACUUUUGGCUGGGUGUGGUGGUGCAUAUUUAUAAUCCCAGCACCUCAGAAUGCUUAGGCAGGAGGAUGGCGAGUUCAAAGCCAGCUUCAGCAAAUUAGUGAGGCCCUAAGCAACUCAGGGAGACCCUGUCUUAUAAAAUAAAAUAUAAAAAAGGACUGGGAUGUGUCUCAGUGGUUAAGGUCCCUGGGAUCAAUCCUAGGUACAAAAAAACAGAAGUUGUACUCCAUGUAAGUAUGAUAUGUCAAAAUACAUUCUACCGCCAGGUGUAACUAAGAAGAACAAAUAAAUAAAUAAAUAAACUUUUGGGGGAAGGAAUUUGAAAUUUUUUUGACACAUGAAAAAUGCUUGCCCCUUAACCCAGGCACUCCAUUUCUAAGAGUUUAUCCUAGGAUGAAUUUGUGUUUGCACUCUGAUUUAUCUACAAGCAUAUUCUAAGAAGCCUUGUUAAUAGUAAGAAAAACUGGCAGCAAUGUACCUUUGGCAGUUAAGAUUGAAUAAAGGUAAUUGGAUGAAGUUAAAUAAUACAAAAUAAUGAAAAAUACUGUUAAUAAUUACAAUCAGUUCUAAAUCAUAUGUAUUUAAUGUGCAUGUACAGAAAAAAACGAUUUGUGAUACUUGGCUUUACUAACAAAACUUAGCUUUAUUCCGAUUCCACUUUUAUUUGAAAAAUUAUUCCAGAUUGAUAACCACCCUGGUAACUGGAAGGAUGACCUGGGCUUAAUAAAAUUGCAGGUGUUUCAUUUUUACAGCUAAGUCUUAAUAACUUUUAAAAAUUGUAAGUCCACUGUUGUUUUUAAAUUUGUUUAUCUUUGGGGAGUACUGGGGAUUGAACCCAGGGGCACUCUCCCACUGAGUGGUAUUUUGAGACAGCGUCUCACCAAGCUGCCAAGGUGGGCCUUCAACUGGUAACCUUUCUGCCUUGUCUCCCUGGGAUCACAGCAUGCCCCACCACACCCACUCUGUGCUUCUUUAAAUGUAUUGUUUUAAAACAAUUUCCAACUUACAGAAAUGCUUUAAGAGUGGUAAAAACAACUCUAUAUACCAAUUACCCAGAGUGGCCAAGUUUUGACCCAGGGCCUCUUCUCUGUUAUUUCUGUCAUGCACAUACAUUCUGGCUUCCCUCUUUUUCUAUAUCUGUGCUUGCAGAAUUAUUUUUUAUGAAACAUUUGAGAGUAAGCAUGCCCUUUUACCAUUUAAUAUCUCAGUGUGCAUUUCUUAAGAAAGAAGAUAUUCUCUUAACAGUAGAACCAUCAGCAAAUUCCAGAAAUACACUAUUGAUACAAUAUUUUUAUGUGAGCUACAGUCCAUAUUCCAACUGAACCGAUUGCCUCAAAGUACAUAGCAUAGCAAGUGUGUUUGUUUGUUUGUUUGUUUUAUUUUGUUUGCAAUACUGGGGAUGGAAUCAGGGGCCUCACCCAUGCUAGGUAAGAGCUGAACUACGCCCCCUAACUCUUUUUUUUCUACUUAAUCUGAAGCAGCACAUCAGCCUUUCUUUGACUCUCAUGGACCGAGGGGUUGUCCUCCAUAUAAUUCAGGUGGUCUGAUGCUUUCUCAUAAUUUGGCUCCGUUUAUGCAUUUCUGGCUGGAGCAUCCUACGUAAUGUUGUGUCUUUCUCAAGGUAUCAUGUCUAGGGACACAUGAUGUCUGUUUGUCCCUCAGUAAUAUUACUAGUGCCACUCAAGUUGUAUCACUUAGUCAUCAUUUGUGCCUUCUCCACAGUGUGGUUUCUAUCUCUCCUUCUCAGAUCAUUCAUAUGAAGACACUUGGAGACUGGAAAUUUCCUAUUUCUUAUCAGAUUUCUUCCCCACCUAUUGAGGAUUCAAUGCUAAAUCUUGUUUGAAUCAAUUUUUACUACAUAGUUGCAGAAUGGUGAUUUUUAAAAAUGUAAUCCUUCCUUCUAUGCUUCUUAAUCAUAAGAAAGAGCUUCACAUUUAUUUAUUAUCGAAAGUUAUUUUAUGCAAGGGGUUAAGAUUCAUCACUGUCCAUUUUUAUCUUGAUGCUCAGAAUUUAUCCUAGGUCGGGCCAGUUUGCCCAGCGGGGGCUGUUCACGCAUGCUUCUGUGCCUCUUUGACGUGCUCCGUAAUCUUUUUGUGUGUUUGCCUGCUUAGCCCUUCUUGUCUUCCUUUUGGCACAGCUUAGACGUUCCAGACUUCUCUCAGCCUCUCUAUGCUGUAACCUUGGAAUCAGCCACUUCUCCAUGGGGACUGGUGGCUUGUAGUGGAUAUUGGCAUUUAGAAACCAAGAUCUGGCUGCAUAGAGAUGUUUCAUUUUCUUCUUUUCAGUUGUUUGUAUCUUCUACUUUUUAAAAACGAAUGAAGCACAUAUGCCUUUAUAAUAAGAAAAGGUUGAAGUCAUUUUUCACAUUGUUCUUUAAAGGGAAGAAAAACAAACAAAACAGAGUGGGCCCUGGGAGCCAAAAUUCCUGAGACCCAUGAGAAAAAAUUUCCUCUGCAGACUUUUCAAAUGCCAGAGGAAGUAGCUCCAAAACAGAGAUGGGCCCCAGGAAGUCCUGGCAGGGAGCUGUCCUUCAUCCUUAGAGGGCAGGAAGGCACACACGGAGUUCUUUUGCUGGAUAGAUCUGCAGAACUGGCCUGGAGACCCAGCGUGGCAUCCCCAUGGUGAUGGAACAAGACCCCCACAGACAGACUGUUCACCCAAACCAAUUGCCCACACAAGAUGGUGCCAUGUGCCCCAACCCCCAAUUCUCUAUUGACACUAGGCGGGCAGGCUGGCACAUCUGCCUCCAGCCCCGGGCACACUCAUCCACGCCUGCCCCGGGACCCAGAGUGGGUUGGAAGAAGGAGGGACGUGUGGCUAGGGGCUGUGAACGCUCAUGCUUGUUUAACUAUUCUAAUUAAGUUUUGAUAUGCUGCCCACAUGACCAACCCCUGCCUUUUCACAAGAGCAACUGGCUGGGACUGUCCCAAAUAGCUCUGUUUGACUAACAGUCACCCCUUGACCUGAGGCCUUUCUGAGGUCCUGAGUAACCACUUAACCAUGGACUGGUCCGUGGUUGGAUUUCUAGAAGAAUUUAGGUCAGGGGCACAGCUAUGGCAGCUCCUGGGAACAGCCAUCCCUAGGAGGAGUAGGGGCAGGGAGGGAUGGCCAUUCCCUUGCACCCCUUUCUUGUUCCCUCCAGAAGUGGCAUGAAUAUUGCCACCCUCGUUUUGUUCUUGCAUAAAACUGCACACUCUUUCACGCCAAGGCCCUCAUCUCCCCACGAGAACGCCCCCUGCAGGCCGGCCCCCUGACUUCCACCCCCAGGGAUUCUUCGUCUGGGUUUCUUACAACGCUGAUCUCAUCGCUGGGUCACCAAAUGUCACCCUUCCUCUCUGUGAGCUAGGAGGCCAGAGGCUGUGGCAGUUCAUUCUUGCGUCUUGGUGCCAACCACAGCGUCUUCCAGUAGAAUUCAGUAUGAACUGGAAGGAAAGAAGGAAGCAGGGCGGGAGGGAAGGAGAGGAGCUGCAGUGGGGAAGGCCAAGCAGAGGGGUGUGGGGCACAGCCGUGUUCCCGAAACCGAGCUUCAGGGCUGGCCCCAUGCAAACCACCCUCCCUGCCGGCUGCCUGCCCCAGGCACUCACACCCCUGCUGCAUGUGCUGUGCAGGACUCAACACCCUCUGAGGGGCCCUUCACCUAUGCACCUGCUGACUUUUGUCUUCCAACCUUGCCCUGCCUUCAGGGGCUCCCUGUAGCACUCCUAAGCCCUCAGCUACUUGCUGAGGGGUGAGAGUGGGGCAUGGACAGACUCUGGCUCCUUUGAAGACCUACAUUCUGCUCCCAAUGCCUUGGUUUGGUGCUUUUUAAAAAAUAUUUAUCUUUUAGUUGUAGUUGGACAUAAUUCCUUUAUUUUAUUUAUUUUUAUGUGGUUCUGAGGAUCGAACCCAGGGCCUUGCAUGAGGUCAGCAAGUGCUCUACCGGUGAGCCCCAGCCCUGGUUUUGUACUUUUUAUAACAGGCAUGUUCAAUUUAAGAUGCACCCCCCCCAACCUCUUGGGGAAGGUAACAACCUACAGAAUGUUCUCUCUUUUCUCCAAGCUUCUUUGUUACUUCCUGUUUUUUAUCUGAUGUGCAUUCAUUGAGUGCCUACUAGGAGCUGCACACUGUACUAGACAGUAGAAGUACAAGCACAGCUCAGGCACAGGGUCCCAUGGGAUUCCUAGGGAUGAAUGUCAGGAAGAAGGUGAGGGGUGGGUGGGCACGGGGGCGUGUGGAUCCUCCUAGCACAUCCUGUCCACCUCCACCUGGCACCAGACAACUGUGCUUAUGGAACGACUUAGGAGCCUGGUUAAAUGACAAGCACCAUACAGUACAUACAGUAGCAUUAAGUGUGAUGAUUGUACCUCAGAAUGUUCUAUUUGGUAUGAAAGAACAUGGUUAUUUGAAAUUACUGUGAUAAAGAUGCUAAAGCUAUUCUGGCUAAGAGGUGACAAUUUUCUGUCACUGCCUAUGACAUACAUAAAGGGAGGUGGCGGGAGGGUCCCUCCUCUUCUUGAGAAUGAGGUGGAAUGUACUUUUCUGGAAGUGGAGUGAAGAGGAAGCCUGGUAUUCCCCAGGUAAAGGACAUUCUGAUCCAUUCUACAUAUUCUCAUAACUUUAUUCUGAUUAUAAAAUUAAUAUGUACUCAAUCUGAGGAUAAAACCAGAAAAUAUAAAUAGGAAAAGGACAGUCUUUUUAUUUUUUCUCUUUCCACUUUUUUUUGGGUGCAUUUUAGUUUUACAUAAUGGUGGAAUUUGUUGUUAUAUAUUCCUACAUGCACACAAUAUAGCAAUAUAAUUUGGCCAAUAUCACUCCCUGCUUCUUCUCCACCUCUCAUCCCGGGUCCCUUUCCUCUACUGAACUCCCUUUAUUUUCAUGAGGACCACCCCCACCACACACACACACACACACACACACAACUUUCUUUUCUUUUUUCCUCUCUAGAUUCCACAUAUGACAGAAAACAUGGCCCUCACCUUCUGAGUCUGGCUUAUUGUGCUUAACAUAAUUGUCUCUAAUUCUAUCCAUUUUCUUUUUGGCCGAAUAAAACUCCAUUGUGUUUUAUGCCACACUUCCUUUUUAAAAUUAAUUAUUUUAUUUGUUUUAAUUAGGUGAAUAUGACAGCAGAAUGCAUUUUGAUUCAUUGUGCACAAUUGCAGCACAUCUUUUCAUUUCUCUGGUUGUACACAAUGUAGCAUCACACCAUAUGUGCAGUCACACAUGUACCUAGGGUAAUGAUGUCCAUCUCAUUCCACCAUCUUUCCUGCCCCCAUGUCCCCUCCCCUCCUUUGCCCAAUCAAAGUUUUUCCAUUUUCCCAAUGCCCUCCCCCCAUCAUGGAUCAGCAUCCACUUAUUACAGAGAACAUUUGGCCUUUGGUUUUUGGAUUUGGCUAACUUUACUUAGCAUGAUAUCCUCCAACUCCAUCCAUUUACCUACAAGUGCCUAAUUUUAUUCUAUUUUAAUGCUGAGUAAUAUUCCAUUGUGUAUAUAUACCAUGGUUUCUUUAUCCAUUCAUCUAUUGAAGGGCAUCUAGGUUGAUUCCACAGUUUAGCUAUUGUGAAUUGAGCUGCUAUAAACAUAGAUGUGGCUGCAUUACUAUAGUAUGCUGAUUUUGAGUUCUUUGGGUAUAGACUAAGGAGUUGGAUAGCUGGGUCACAGGGUGGUUCCAUUCCAAGUUUUCUAAGAGAUCUCCAUACUGCCUUCCAGAUUGGUUGCACCAAUUUGUAGUCCCACCAGCAAUGUAUGAGUGUGCCUUUUCCCCCACAUCCUCACUAACACUUAUUGUUGCUUGAAUUCUUGAUAAUUGCCAUUCUGACUGGCAUGAGAUGAAAUAUUAGAGUAGUUUUGAUUUGUAUUUCUCUAAUUACUGAAGAUGUUAAACAUUUUUUUCAUUUAUUUGUUGAUCGAAUGUUGGGGGCUGGGGAUAUAGCUCAGUUGGUAGAGUGCUUGCCUUGCAUAUACAAGGCCCUGGGUUCAAUCCCCAGCACCACCAAAAAAAAAAAGAGCAAGAUAUGGCACACUUUCUUUAUCUAUUCACCCAUUGAUGGACACCUAAGCUGGUUCCCUAGUUUGUGAAUUGCGCUGUUAUCAAUAUGGGUAUGCAUUUAUCACUAGAGUAUGAUGAUUUAAAUUCUUUAAAUAAAAAGGAGUGGUAAGCUGGGUUAUAUGGUGGUUCCAUGCCUAGUCUUUUGAGGAACCUCCAUAUUUAUUUCCAUAGUGGUUGUACUAAUUUAUACUCCCACCAGUAGUGUAAUAGUGUUCAUUUUUCUCCACAUCCUCGCCAGCAUUUAUUAUUGCUUAUAUUCUUUUUUUUCACAGAAUACUUUUAUUUUAUUUACUUGUAUGUGGUGCCUCACAGGUGCUAGGCAAGCGCCCUGCCACCGAGCUGCAGCCCCGACCCCUGUUGUGUGUGUCCUUGAUGACUGCCACUCUGACUGGUGUGAGGUGAAAUCUCAGUGUAGUUUUGAUUUGCGUUUCUCUAAUUGCUAAUGAUGUCAAGCAUUUUUUUUCAUAUAUUUGUUGGGCAUUUAUAUUUCUUCUUUUGGGAAGUAUCUGUUUAAUUCAUUAAAUGCAUUAAGUGUCAUUAAAUUUAUUCAUUAAUUUAAUCCACUUGCCCAUUUAUUAAUUGGUUAUUUACUUUUUUGGUGUAAAGUUUUUUGAGUUCUUUCUAUAUUCUACAUAUUAAUCCUCUGUCAGACGAGUAGCUGGCAAAAAUUUUCUCCAUUCUGUGUUCUCUCUUCAUAUGCCUUUGUUUCCUUUGCUGUGCAGAAGAUUUAUAAUUUGAAGCUAUCCCAUUUAUUAACUCUUGGCAUAAAGACAUUCUCUUUAAAUCUCUCCCCAAAGCAUACAUCUAUAAAGUAGUAGACUACUAUUACCUUUGAGGUAUUCUUAGUCUCACUCCUAAGCAAGAGUUUACUGUGCGCAUUUGAGAACAUGCUACCCAUAUAAUACCUUCUCUUGCUUUUCUCACUUGGUUUGCCAUAAAUAUUUUCCCACAUGAUUAAAAAAUGCAUCAUAAGUGAGGAAUUCAAGUUGCAGAAAAAUACAUAUAGUCUGGUACAAGGGGAAAGAAAAAACACACGCAACCCAAAUAAUAUAUAUUUUCUAUGCCUAUGUGGAAUGUUAACUCUGUGAACUACAAGCCCAAAAUAGUAGGAUAUCUCUGGGAAGGUGAAGAUGGAGAAUGAAGCUGAUGCAGAAAAGCAACAAAAAUAGUAGCUUUGCCUGUGAUGCCCAGAGGUUCAAGUUCUCAAAUGUUGUAUAUAUAAGUGAAUUUGCUUUUAAGGUUAAAACUUUAUUAAGUCAUAAUUACACUGCUUGAUGUUAGACAAAAUGACUGAAUCUUACUUUAUUUUAUUUAAGAUUGGACAUCAGAAUUUUUUUUCAAAAUUUUAACUAUUCUACAUAAUUUCUAUUUAUUGGAUACAAAUCUGUCUUAAGUCAUUUCCUCUGAGUUCAUCCCUGUGAGUGUCUGAGUCACCACGUCUCCAUAAGCGCCAAGUGAUAUCAAUUUUUAAAAUUAUUACUAAUUUUGUACUGACUCAUUUAAUUUUAAUUAGUACUUCUCCAUUACUAGUAGAGCUAAAAAUUUUUGGAAUAUAUUCAUUAGCCAUUUUCACUGAGGAGGGACUUUUCCUCAUAAACUUUAAGGGAAGAAACUCUUACAGGAGGGGCGUACCGGGAAUUCAGAUUGAGCAGAACUUUUCUUUUUGUUUCUUAAAUCCUUGAAACUUUCUUCCUUUCAUUGCACAGGAAAAAGAGAAGCAAAGAAAAGGCAGUUUGGGGACCAGACAGCAGGAGUGACAUAAGCCAUGGGUCAGCUUGAACUCCUGAAGAGCAGCCCUGGUCACAUUGUCGCUGACUUGCCCACAUCUCCAGUGUCUCCCCACACCUGACGACAGAAAGUCCUCCUCUGUGGAAACCAACCUUCUCAGGCGUGUUUCCCUCGCCUCUCACACACACCCGGUCCCCCAUUCGCCAGGUUCGUGGCCAUCCUUCAACCACACACAGCCUGACCUCUUCUCUUCUUUGCUCACACUGUAAUUCCCUCCCCUGCGAUGCCCUCUCCGCUGUCCCAACACCAACCUUUCCUUCUUCCAAUGAAGAAAGUAUCACUUCUUCUGCAAUCAGGCUUUUGCUCAUCCCUAAGAUUCAAGUGAUUUUUAAAAAAUUCUUUUAAAUGACUAUUUGUUCUCGAGGCAAGCAUUAAAGGCCAAGAUUUAAGCCCAGGUUUG